This is a long non-coding RNA of Meriones unguiculatus (Mongolian gerbil), 1030 nucleotides long. RefSeq lists it as uncharacterized. The record is from RefSeq and is a predicted model, not a curated record. The transcript is spliced from 3 exons. Lineage: Eukaryota; Metazoa; Chordata; Mammalia; Rodentia; Muridae.
GUUGGAGAGACCAGACAUGGAUGGUGUGGUGGCUUGGAAGAGUCAGCAUCUUCCGGAGGGCUGGAUUUGUAUACAGAUUAUGUUUACAUUUGGCUUUAUCAUGGAAGAUGUUAUUUUCUUUAUUUAUGAUGUUGGAUGUUUUCCUGGGAAUAUAAUCAGCUGAGUGGACCAGAGAAAUGGCUUUCUUCCCAGUUCAUCCAGGACCUCCAGCAAGUAGCUCAGACAAUACUAACCCUCCAAGGACAGAUGGACUCGCUGGCAGCAGUAGUACUUCAAAACCAAUAUGGAUUGGAUCUCCUCACAGCUAAAGAAGGUGGCCUUUGCAUCUUCCUCCAGGAGGAUGGAUCUCCUCACAGCUGAAGAAGGUGGCCUUUGCCUCUUCCUCCAGGAGGAAUGCUGUUUUCAUGUCAACCAAUCCAGUAUAGCAAAAGAGAAAAUCCAACAACUCUAGACAAAUCUACAAAAGUGAAGGGAACAGCUCUUGGGCCUUUGAGAACUCCACAGGGAAACAGAUUCUGCCCUUCCUCACUCCUUUUCUGCUCAACUUUCUGUUUUUGAUUUUUGCACCCUGCUUUAUUAAAUUCUUUUCUACAUUCCUCCAACAACAAAUGCAAAAAUUCUCCAACCUAACCAUUAAUCAGUUACUCUUACAGGAUUACCAACUCUGCUCACAGAACCAGAUGACAAUGGCCUUCCAAUCAACCCUGAUGGUGGGGACCAGCUAUCCCCCAAGAAUGAGAACACCCCUAAUCAGCAGGAAGUAGCCUGAAGAGCAAAGGUUGCUCCUAUGCCCUCCCUACCAUCACCACCUUCCUGGCUCCUCACUUUUUAAUAAAACAAAAAGGGAGGAAUAUUGGGAUCUGUAAGCAGACAUCUCUAUGGCCAGCCCCAAGGGACCUGACAAACCAGAUAUCAGGCAUCUGUGAGGCCAGCUAUGGACCACCUGAAACCACCUGUACAUGCUCUGGGUCACCUUACAAGAAAACUCACACCACCUCCCUUUUCUCUCUCUCUCUCUCUCUCUCUCUCU